GACGAACGCUGGCGGCGUGCUUAACACAUGCAAGUCGAACGGAAAGGCCCUGCUUUUGUGGGGUGCUCGAGUGGCGAACGGGUGAGUAACACGUGAGUAACCUGCCCUUGACUUUGGGAUAACUUCAGGAAACUGGGGCUAAUACCGGAUAGGAGCUCCUGCUGCAUGGUGGGGGUUGGAAAGUUUCGGCGGUUGGGGAUGGACUCGCGGCUUAUCAGCUUGUUGGUGGGGUAGUGGCUUACCAAGGCUUUGACGGGUAGCCGGCCUGAGAGGGUGACCGGCCCCAUUGGGACUGAGAUACGGCCCAGACUCCUACGGGAGGCAGCAGUGGGGAAUAUUGCACAAUGGGCGGAAGCCUGAUGCAGCAACGCCGCGUGCGGGAUGACGUCCUUCGGGUUGUAAACCGCUUUCGCCUGUGACGAAGCGUGAGUGACGGUAAUGGGUAAAGAAGCACCGGCUAACUACGUG
Molecule: ribosomal RNA, 468 nt
Filed under: uncultured bacterium
Lineage: Bacteria
Description: partial 16S ribosomal RNA
Rfam family: Bacterial small subunit ribosomal RNA
Source: RNAcentral